CUUUUUGCCAUUUCUUGGGCUGCUCCUGCGGCAUAUGGAGGUUCCCAGUCUAUAGCCUGGAGUCUAAUCGGAGCUGUAGCCGCUGGCCUACACCAGAGCCACAGCAACGCGGGAUCCGAGCCGCGUCUGCAACCUACACCACAGCUCACGGCAACGCCGGAUCAUUAACCCCCUGAGCAAGGCCAGGGAUUGAACCCGCAACCUCAUGGUUCCUAGUCGGAUUCGUUAACCAGUGAGCCACAAUGGGAACUCCCUGAAAUCAUUUUUCUUUCUCAGUGCUCAAGAAAGCAUUUACAUCAGAUCCAUUCUUCUUAGUGGAGUGAUUUUGUGAAGCUUUCCUUGAUGCUCCACCUCCACCCAAUACACCAACUUCCUGCCAGGUGCUUCUCCUACACACCCUCAGCCACAGCCAUUAUCAUUCAUUUGUAAUCAUCUGUUUUCUUGGAAGCAUCUUGCACUAAAUUGCAGGCUCUGGGGAAGGGACCCUUCUAUUUUGUUCAUCAUUGAAUGCCCUAUGCGGUGCUUGGCACACACCAGAUGCUUGAUCAAUAUUUGCUGAGUAAAUGAAUGAUGUUGUUCUUUUUCACUUUAUACCUACAGGAGCCACUGUCUCAGGAAGAAACAUGGACUCACUGAAGUCUUGACCCAGACAAUAAAUUUGUGAAUUUGGCAACUGUCAAAGCUCUCCAGCCAGAGGGAAUAAGGCAGGCCGUAUUGUGACAGCCUGCAGGCAUUUCUCCUGAUUUAGGAGGGUUUAAGGCAGGUCUCCUGAGCAACUGCAGAGGGCCGGGGGCCAGUUGGACCAGGGAAAAACCCAGGAUUAACUUCAGACCUUGACAUUUCCCUCCCUUCAGUGACUAUUAGCUCACGGCCUAAACUGUGAAGCAACUCAGGGGAAAUAUAAAUUAGAGCAAGAAACUGUACUAAAUCUUUCUCCUGACAACAGGCUGAGUGAGUCUGGCUUAUUUCUGAGCUGGUUCGUGCUCCCUGGUAUUGGGAGCUUUACCGUUUCAGACUGGAAUAACCUCGAGCAUUUUCCCCUCUCUCUGGUGAGAGCUCUGUAGCAGUUGUUUACAUUAGCUACCGUAUUUAAUUCAUGGAGGAGGGGGAACCAUGGGGGAAAGGAGUCAAAAGAAGGUUAAGUGGUGCUAAUGGCCUUAUUUGUUACUUAAUGAGCCCCAAUCCCAAUGAAGAUGACACUUCUGGUCACUACUAGCAGAUAUUACAUGGGGGGGGAGGGUUAUUUUAUUCAUUAGUUUUGACUUUUUUCCUUGUUAUAAUAGGAAUAGAAUUGUACCAGUCUAUUCUGAUUCCCUCCAUGAGACUAGGGGAGUAGUAGUUCUUAACUUUCUGACAGUGGGAUGGGAUUUGAAUCAGCACCUACAAGGGCUGGGCUCUACUCUCAGCUUCCGUCCUUUAUUCAACAAAUAUUGAGUACCUGUGAUGAGGCCUGGGAUUAUUCUAAAUACUGGGGAAAACAAUGUAAAAUAAAAGACACUAUGUUUCUGUUGAGAAAAAUAGACAAUAGACAUUAAAUAAGUAAAUUCUACAGACUAUUGGAAAAUGAUAAGUGAUAGAAAAGAAGGAUCGAGGUAGGCCGCACAGUGGCAUGUGGAGUUUCCCAGGCCAGGGAUCCAAUCUGAACUGUAGCCACUGGCCUACGCCACAGCCACAGCAAUGUGGGAUCCAAGCUGCGUCUGCGACCUACACCACAGCUCAGGGCAACGCCGGAUCCUUAACCCAUGACGGGAACUCCUGUAAAGAAAUGGGGCUCAUAUGGCAAGGAGCACUGGAAGGCACUGUAGGAACUUUUGCUGUAGAAGGAAUGGGGACCCCUCUGGAAGACUGAACAGAGGAAUGACUUACCUGAUUUUUCCUGGAAAAUCUGGUGGCUCUGGUGAGAAUGAUCUCUAGGGAACAUGGCAGAGAUGACCAGCAGGUGACCCAAACCUAUUCUUCUUCUGUCACAUGGAGAGUUGUCACCAGAAGCAGCUGGCCAGCCAGGGACCCUUCUUAGUGGGCAGUGUGGUCAAAUGCCAGGAAGACCACAGGGCAGCCUUCAGCCUGAGACCUGAAUGGCUGGCUGGUGGAGAGCUGCUUUCAAACACUGGACCCAGGGGUUCCUGCUGUGGCUCAGUGGUAACGAGUCCAACUAGUAACCAUGAGGACGUGGGUUCAAUCCCUGGCCUUGCUCAGUGGGUUAAGGAUUUGGUGUUGCCAUGAGCUUUAGGUAGGUCACAGACACAGCUUGAAUCCCAUGUUGCUGUAGCUGUGGUGUAGCCUGGCAGCUAUAGCUCCGAUUAGACCCCUAGUAUGGGAACUUCCAUAUGGCUAAGGUGUGGCCCUAAAAACCAAAACAAACAAACAAACAAAAACCCAAAACAAAAAAACUGGACCCAGCCGUUGAUUGCUACAUAUGAAAUAAACUAGUUGUUCUUUAAGCCACUGAAUUUGGUGGUGGUGGUGGUGGGGGGGGGGUUACAUUUGUUAUAGCAGCCAGCCUAUCCUAACUAAGAGAAAUACAGAGGUCAAGACAAAACCAGGAAGCUCUAUUAGGCAGCUACUGCAACCAGUCUGGGUAAGAGCCUGGUGGCUUGCAAUAAUGCGCUAGGAGAGGAGGUAGCACAAAAUGAAAUCAAAGUAUAUUUUGAAGGCGGAGCCCAGAGAAUUUUGUGACAGCUUGGAUGUGGGGUAUGAGAGAAAAGAAGGAAGCCAAGUUUGACUUCCUGGUUUGGGGGUUGAUACACCGUAAGUUUGGGAAGACAGCUUUAGGGGGUCAAUUGGAAAGGAGUUGCACUUGUGUAAAUCUGAGAUGUUUAUUGGUUUCCGAGUGAAGAUGUCGAAUAGAAAUGUGGUAUAUAAAUUUGAAGGUCAGGGAGGAUGUCCAGCCUGGAUAUUAACUUAGAGUCAUCAGUGCACAGAUUGAAGUUAAAUCCUGGGAUGGGGUGAGACCAGCAUGGGAGGGAGUAUAGCUACAGAAGAGGUCAAAGGACUGAGCCCUGUGGCACUUCAUCUUAAAGAGGUAGGGAAAAUGGGGAGAAAUCAGCAAAAGUGACUAAGUAGGAGCAGCCAGGGUGAAAGAAAGAAAAGCAGGAGAGUUUGGUGCCUGGAAACCCUGACCUGUUCUACGUAGGGGUGCAGAGCUCCACGCCAAGGAUCAGAGCCUGAAAAAUGGAUCCUCGCCUCUGAGGAGCAGGAGAAAGAUUCAUCAACUAAUGAGAUCCAGAUAAGCACAACUCUGGGGGCCUAUCAGAGGGCAGGAAAGAGCUUAGAAUGCCCUGCAGGCAGCGGUGGUAGGUUGGGAAAUAGUAGGAUUCU
This 3318-nucleotide long non-coding RNA is filed under the name Sus scrofa (pig). RNAcentral's name for it is "lncRNA (ENSSSCG00030062492.1)". The record is from RNAcentral. Lineage: Eukaryota; Metazoa; Chordata; Mammalia; Artiodactyla; Suidae.